UUAACUUAAGUAUUAUGGCGGUAUUUUAGUCUAUUUAGAGGAACCUGUCCCGUAAUUGAUGGUCCACGUUUAAUGGUACUUGAGCUAUUAUAAGCUUGUAUAUCGUCGUUUAGAAUAUGUUAUAGGGCUUUUAUUAAUAUUUGAGGUUUAAGGUUUAAAUAAAGUCAGAUCAAGGUGUAGUUGAUGCUCAAGGGGAGGUGGGUUACAGAUAGUUCAAUUUACUAGUGGAGUGUAAUGCUGAAAAUAGAUAUGAAAUUGGAUUUGAUAGUAAUAUUUUUAAUAUAAAGUUUAUGAAAAUUAGCUCUAAAAUAUGUACAUAUCGCCCGUCGCUUUCAUAUUAAAAUGAAAUAAGUCGUAACAAAGUAGCCCUACCGGAAGGUGGGGCUAGAGUACAAACUAAAGCUUUUAUAGCUUUUUAUUUACAUUAAAAUGAGUGUUUUAGAUGAUGUAGUUUGAUUAUAUGGGUAUUAUUAAAUGAUAUGUUAUUGGUUUAUUAUUAAUUGAAGAAUUAAGAUUGAUUUAGUUGAUUAAGAAGUAUUUAUAUUUAUUAUAGGGUAUUAUGUACCGUUAGGGGCGUGGUUGUAUAUUUUGAAAUAAGAGUUAAUUUUUUGUACCUUGUGUAUCAGGGUUGACUAAAUGAUUACUAAUUAGUUAAAUGUCCCGAAUUUAAAAGAGUUAAUUAGCUAUAUAUUUUAUUGUAGAAUAAUUAUUUAAAAUAGUUAAUUGGUAGCGAAACGUUAUUCGUUUUUAAAUAUAUCUGGUUCCUUAAGAAAAAAUUUUAAAUUUUUGGUUAUGUGCGAGUUUAUAAUUACUUGGUUGAGUAUUAAAUUGCUGUUAAUUAGGUAAAACUAAUGGGAUUAGCUUUUAGUUUGAUAGGUAUAACUUUAUUAUAGUUGAUAGUUAAGUAGGAUUAGAAAUUUCUUUUUAUUAGAUUGUGUUAUAAUUUAAUUAUGAUUGAGAUUUAAUUUUCUUUGGGUUUAUCUUUUUUAUUGAGGUUUAGGUAAAAUUUAUGUUUAUUUGGAAAUAAUAGUUAAAUUAGUAUAAAUAUUAAAGUUGUAGUUAGUAGAGGUCUGUGGUUAGUUUAAUUUAAGGAACUCGACAAAGGGAAUUUUCACCUGUUUAUUAAAAACAUGUCUUUUAGAUUUUAUGAUUUAAAGUUUAACCUGCCCCCUGAGUAGUGUAGCUUAAAGGGCCGCGGUAUUUUGACCGUGCUAAGGUAGCAUAAUAAUUAGUUUUUUAAUUGUGAGCUGGAAUGAAUGGUUGGAUGAGGGAUUGCUUGUCUCUAGUUGAUGGUUUGAAUUUUAUUUUCGAAUUAAAAAGUUCGAAUAAGAGUAAAAGACGAGAAGACCCUAUAGAGUUUUAUAUUUAAUUUUUAUUUAUUUAUUAGGAUUUAA
This 1394-nucleotide ribosomal RNA is filed under the name Metasynaptops coxalis. Its description in RNAcentral is "partial 16S ribosomal RNA". The stretch from base 1 to 395 matches the Rfam family "Microsporidia small subunit ribosomal RNA", at positions 773 to 1311 of the family's 1311-position model. The record is from RNAcentral. Lineage: Eukaryota; Metazoa; Arthropoda; Insecta; Coleoptera; Attelabidae.